AAUAUUUGAGUACAAUCAUUCCUGUAUCCUGUGAACCUGUAUAGCCAUACUCAUCACAGGUAGGGAAUUCAGCAGACAGAGCAGCUUUAUAAGCCGCAUGUUGUUAAUUUACUGUAGCUGUACACAGUCACAUCACUAGGUGUUUGAUGUUGGAGAUAAGGUAGGGCAUGUUCUGUAUUUUAUACAUAAUCCAUCAACUUUCCCUUUGUGGGGUACAGGUUUGGCAGAAGAUGCUGACUUAUGUCAAAUCUGCUAUCACAAACUAUUUUGUAAUGUGUCUGGUUAAGUAUAGGCUGGUGUUGUCAGGAGAUUUUAAAUUAAGUGAAAAAUAAAUGUUGCAAAAAGAACGUAAGAAGCGUAAGAAACAGCUCACCUUUGCAGGCCUGCCAUUUUAGCCCAGGUAUUGUGUACAUAUGUAUAUCUAGUUACUAGGUGUAACACUAUGUGGGUAGAAUAUUGAAAUUCACAAUGGGUGUGAAGUGAUUGAUUUGGAUAUUAGUUGUGACAAGGUAAGUUGUCAAAGAUUCUGAAUUUUUAGAAAGAGAAACCAUUCUUUGAAACUGAAACAAGAUUAAUAGCUCCAUGCAGAGAUGCUCAAACAUUUAUUCAGAGAAGGUUGUUUGAAGAAUACUUUGGUAAUGAGAUCUAUAGUUUAUGCAUCACAAAUAUUAUUUUUGAAAUGAGAAAAGUGUCAGGAAAUGAUGUGUUGAUAUACAUUCUCAAUAAGAUCAUAUUUUU
This is a long non-coding RNA of Haliotis rubra (blacklip abalone), 738 nucleotides long. RefSeq lists it as uncharacterized. The transcript has 3 exons. NCBI's taxonomy places the organism in Eukaryota, Metazoa, Mollusca, Gastropoda, Lepetellida, Haliotidae. The record is from RefSeq and is a predicted model, not a curated record.